CAGUAACGGCGAGUGAAGCGGCAACAGCUCAAAUUUGAAAUCUGGCCCCCCGCGGGCCCGAGUUGUACUUUGGAGAGGACGCUUCUGGCGCGGCGCCGUCCGAGUUCCCUGGAACGGGACGCCGGAGAGGGUGAGAGCCCCGUACGGGCGGCCGCCUAGCCUCUGCGAAGCUCCUUCGACGAGUCGAGUAGUUUGGGAAUGCUGCUCAAAAUGGGAGGUAAAUUUCUUCUAAAGCUAAAUACCGGCCAGAGACCGAUAGCGCACAAGUAGAGUGAUCGAAAGAUGAAAAGCACUUUGAAAAGAGGGUCAAACAGUACGUGAAAUUGUUGAAAGGGAAGCGCCUGUGGCCAGACUUGCGCCCCGCGGACCACCCGGCGCCUCGCGCGCCGGGGCACGCCAGCGGGGCGCAGGCCAGCAUCGGCUCUCUCGGGGGGACAAAGGCCGCGGGAACGUAGCGCCCUCGCGGCGUAUUAUAGCCCGCGGCGCCAUGCCCCCGGGGGGGCCGAGGACCGCGCUCCGGCAAGGAUGCUGGCGUAAUGGCCACCGGCGACCCGUCUUGAAACACGGACCAAGGAGUCAAGCAUUGGGGCGAGUGUCUGGGUGGCAAGCCCGCACGCGGAAUGAAAGUGAACGCAGGUGGGAGCUUCGGCGCACCACCGACCGAUCCUGAUGUCCUCGGAUGGAUUUGAGUAGGAGCCCCGCCGCUUGGACCCGAAAGAUGGUGAACUAUGCCUGUAUAGGGUGAAGCCAGAGGAAACUCUGGUGGAGGCCCGCAGCGGUUCUGACGUGCAAAUCGAUC
RNAcentral lists this ribosomal RNA (799 nucleotides) under Harringtonia lauricola. Its description in RNAcentral is "Raffaelea lauricola partial large subunit ribosomal RNA". It matches the Rfam family "Eukaryotic large subunit ribosomal RNA", at positions 81 to 903 of the family's 3401-position model. Lineage: Eukaryota; Fungi; Ascomycota; Sordariomycetes; Ophiostomatales; Ophiostomataceae. The record is from RNAcentral.